RNAcentral lists this long non-coding RNA (622 nucleotides) under Homo sapiens (human). Its description in RNAcentral is "long intergenic non-protein coding RNA 1360". The record is from RNAcentral. Lineage: Eukaryota; Metazoa; Chordata; Mammalia; Primates; Hominidae.
AGCCUGAGAGAAAAGGACACUGCAUAUCACAGAGAGAUGCAUAGAUGUUACACUCAGAAAGAGAGUGAACAACUAGAAGAUGUGGAAGAACCAGUUUGGCUCUGGAGUCAAGAAUUCUCAAAACAGCUUUCUGAACCUGAAUCGCACGCAGUAAAGCUGGUGUUCUCCUGAAGCCAACAUUUAUGGUAUCACCUUGCUGAUCCAGGCAAAAUGGCAAAAGUGUAGUGAACAUAAAGCCAGGGGCUGAGAUUGUGGAUGUCCUCUGUACCAAGUUUCUUAUUAUGAAAAUUCCAAGGGCCAAUUUUGAAACAAACCAGGCAGAGACCCAGAUGCAGAAUCCUGCAGGCUGAGGGAUGUUAGGAAGAGUUAGCCCACCACUGCUGCGCUGAAACCAGGAUGACGCAAACUGGGCCUCAGGCCAGGUGUAUUCCUUGGAGUAUAACUGAAGGUUUACUUGGUAAUUCUAUGUUUAACUUUUUUUGGAACUUCUGGACUAUCUUCCAAAGCAACAGUACCAUUGUACAUUUUCACCAGCCACGUAUGACAGUCACACUCUCUCCACAUUCUUGCCAAAACUUGUUAUCAUUUUUCAAAUAAAAGACAGCCUAGUGUGUAUCUGAAA